GACGAACGCUGGCGGCGUGCUUAACACAUGCAAGUCGAACGGUGAAGCGCCUUCCUUUUUGGUGGGUGUGGAUGAGUGGCGAACGGGUGAGUAACACGUGAGUAACCUGCCCCCUUCUUCUGGAUAACCGCAUGAAAGUGUGGCUAAUACGGGAUAUUCUGGGUCUGUCGCAUGAUGGGUCUGGGAAAGAUAUUGUUUCGGUGGGGGAUGGGCUCGCGGCCUAUCAGCUUGUUGGUGGGGUGAUGGCCUACCAAGGCGGUGACGGGUAGCCGGCCUGAGAGGGUGGACGGUCACACUGGGACUGAGACACGGCCCAGACUCCUACGGGCGGCAGCAGUGGGGAAUAUUGCACAAUGGGCGCAAGCCUGAUGCAGCGACGCCGCGGGAGGGAUGGAGGCCUUCGGGUUGUGAACCUCUUUCGCCAGUGAAGCAGGCCUGCCUCGUUUGUGGGUGGGUUGACGGUAGCUGGAGAAGAAGCGCCGGCUAACUACGUG
RNAcentral lists this ribosomal RNA (494 nucleotides) under uncultured bacterium. Its description in RNAcentral is "partial 16S ribosomal RNA". It matches the Rfam family "Bacterial small subunit ribosomal RNA", at positions 28 to 507 of the family's 1533-position model. The record is from RNAcentral.